AUGACCUGGACCCCUUUCCUCCUCGGAUUCCUGGCUCACUGCACAGUUUCCAUGGCUGCCUAUGUGCUGACUCAGCCCCCCUCAAUGUCAGUGAGCCUGGGACAGACAGCCAGCAUCACCUGUGGGAGAGACAACGUAGGAAAUACAUAUGUUUCCUGGCACCAGCAGAAGCCAGGCCAGGCACCCAUGAUGAUUAUCUAUGGUGAUAGCAGCCGGCCCUCAGGGAUCCCUGACCGAUUCUCAAGCACCAAUUUGGGGAACCCAGCCACCCUGACCAUCAGCAGGGCCUGGGCUGAGGACAAGGCUAUUACUGUCAGUCCUAUGAGAGUAAUGGUACUUCUCAUGGUGACACAGGCAGAUGGGGAAGUGAGACACAAACCCCUUCCCCACCUGUGUCACCCUCUCCUCCAGCCCCAGGAGACCUGUGCACAAACCAAUGA
This is a non-coding RNA of Odobenus rosmarus divergens (Pacific walrus), 440 nucleotides long. Lineage: Eukaryota; Metazoa; Chordata; Mammalia; Carnivora; Odobenidae. The record is from the annotation of a RefSeq genome assembly.